GUGUGUGUUUUUGGUGAGAGUCUCUGGUCCCCUGCAAUCUUUGCUAGCCUUUCGCCGUCUUCUGCGUCCACUUGGCUCCUUCCUUCUCUCUCUUGAAAACUUGAGUUCUUCUCUUUCUUCGAGCUCAGUUAGGAGCUUUUUAAAGAUCCCAACUUUUUUUGGUAACUUCUAUUAUGAUUCACAAUCAAAGUUUUCACCAUUUCUAAUGCAUUUGGAUUAGCAUACUUUUGCUUAUUCGAGAAGCUCUGAUUUCCUCAAAUUUCUCUUCUUUCUUAAUUGAUCUGUUAUUGAGUUUUUAUUGGUUGGUUACUGGGUUGGGAGGAUUUUUGAGCUGUUCUUCAAGUUUCAAGUUAAUUGCUUUACUGUUGUUUACUUUAGAAAAUCUGAUGAUCUGGGUUUUUCUGGUUUUUAAUUUUAAUGAUUAGAGAAGCCAAAAAGAUUCAUUUUCUGCUAUUUUUUAAGCUUAAAGCAGCUUAAUUUGGAAAUUUUCUUUUCUAUUUUUCUUUUUUAAAAAUUUCUGUAGGAUCUUUAGGAGCCAUUAAAGAAUAGGUUUGACUGGUACUUUAUAUUUAAUUAUAGGUUUUAUAUUAAUAUAUCUCUUACUGAUUACUGAUAAGGACUGGUGUAUUUAAAAAGAAAGAUUAUGUUCUGUAAAUUCUAUAACUGUAAAAGUAGCACUCUUUCCUUUUCUUUUUCUUUUAUUUUUAUCCUUUUAUUUCCCUUGUCAGUUAUACUAACUGGGAUUGUCUUAUAGUGUGGGGUUUUUGUCGAGUUUUUUUAUGUCUUGAAAACUCGUUGGCUCCAUAAAUGUUUUCCUUUUUUUUUCUUUUUUAGGUUCUUUGAACUUGUGCUAGAGUUAAAAGAGUAGUGUUUGGAAGGUACCAAUAAUGGUAAGUGAUUCAAUUUUGGGGAGUGUUUGAGCGAGAAAAAGCGGUGCCAACCCUUUCACCAUGCCUCUAUCUGAGCUAAUAUGUCGAUUGUCUAAAGGAAAGUUUGAUUCUUCCUCUCAGGAGAAGAAUACAACUUGCUCAACUGAUCUAUCUACUGGACCUGAAAAUGAUUUUCUUGAGCUAGUAUGGGAAAAUGGUCAAAUCCAGUCCAGUAGAGCUAGGAAAAUUUCUAAUGGAGUACAAUCUCAAACCUCCAAGUUUAGGGAUAAAGAUAUUAGUAUUGGCAUUGGCAAUGGCAACAACACAAAAAUGGGAAGGUUUGGGGCCAUGGACUUUGGACUAGAUGAAGUUCCUAUGUCUGUUCCGUCUGUUGAAAUGGGUUUGAAUCAAGAAGAUGACAUGGUUCCUUGGUUGAAUGAUCCAAUUGAUGACUCUUUGCAACAAGAUUAUUGUCAUGAGUUUCUUGCUGAAUUAUCUGGCGUUACUGUAAAUGAACAUGCCCAGAAUAGUUUUGCAUCAUCGGAUAAGAAAAGUAAUGGUAAUCAAUCAGUUAGAGACUCACAUACUGCCUCUGUACAUAAUGGCUUGAGUUUAGAGCAAGGGCACAUGCCAAGGGUUUCUUCAGGAAGGGAUGGUGAUGCAACUAGGUCUAGAACUACUGCGAGUCAGUUAUAUUCAUCAUCCGUGCAGCAAUGCCAAGCAUCAUUUCCACAUUUUAGGUCCCGAAUUUCAGCUAAUAAUGCUGAGAGUACAAAUAAUUCAACCCAUGUUGCUUCUUCUGGGGAUCCAAUACGAGGUUCACCGUCAGGAGGUGGUUUUCCUAGCAUAAAAGCGCAGAAGCAAGUUCCAGUCUUAGCCACUACUAACUCCAGUUUGAUGAAUUUCUCACAUUUCUCAAGACCUGUUGCUCUUGCUAAAGCUAAUUUUGAAAACAUCGGCACAAGGGCUGGUUCAGGAAUAUCAAGCAUAGAAAGAAUUGGAAGUCAAGAUAAGGGUUCAAUUGCAAGUAGUAGCAAUCCUGCAGAAUCCAUGCUCAAUGAGACAUUUAGUGGUUUAAAAAAGGAAACGAGCUCUCGUUGCCGUCCUGUUAUGGUAUCAUCCAAAGUUGAUGAUAAACCAUUGGACCAUAGGCCUGCUGAGGAACCCCUUCUAGCAAAGCAACCUGAGGCUAUGGAAAAUGACUGUAAGAAUGAUAAAAAUCAUUGUCAAUUUGCUGCAAGUGCAACAAAAGGAUUGGCAGAUGGUGAAAAGACUGCAGAACCUAUAGUAGCUUCUUCUUCUGUUUGCUCAGGGAAUAGUAUGGAGAGAGUUUCAGACGAACCAAUGCAGAAUUUGAAAAGAAAACACCGAGAAACAGAGGAGUCUGAAGGUCCUAGUGAAGAUGUUGAAGAGGAAUCAGUAGGUGGAAAGAAAGCAGCUCCUGCUCGAGGAGGUACAGGGUCAAAGAGAAGCCGAGCAGCAGAAGUACAUAAUUUGUCUGAAAGGAGGCGAAGGGAUAGAAUCAAUGAAAAGAUGCGCGCUCUACAAGAACUCAUACCAAACUGCAAUAAGGUGGACAAAGCUUCAAUGCUCGAUGAGGCUAUUGAGUAUUUAAAGACUCUUCAGCUUCAAGUGCAGAUUAUGUCAAUGGGAGCUGGUUUAUAUAUGCCAUCCAUGAUGUUGCCUCCAGGAGUGCCUCACAUGCAUGUUGCUCAUAUGUCCCAAUUCUCACCCAUGGGAGUGGGAAUGGGUUUUGGGAUGGGUAUGCCUGAUAUGAUUGGCGGUUCUUCUGGAUGCUCUAUGAUUCAGGUGCCUCCUAUGCAUGGGGCACACUUUCCUAGCCCACCAAUGUCAGGGCCAAGUGCUUUGCAUGGAAUGGGUGGAUCUAAUCUGCCAAUGUUUGGGCUUUCUAGUCAAGGACAUCCAAUGCCAUAUCUAUGUCCACCUGUAAUGCCAAUGUCUGGAGGACCACUUCUGAGAACUACCUUGGGACUGAAUGCUGGAGGGGUGGCAGGUCCCACGGAUAAUUUGGACUCAGCCCCAGGUUCUAGUUCAAAGGACUCAAUUCGUAAUGUCAACUCACACUCGAUACAAAAUGGUGGUGCCAAUAGUUCAAUGAAUCAGACAUCUACUCAGUGCCAAGUGACAAAUGAACGUUUUGAACAGCCUGCUUUGGUGCAGAGUAGUGCUCAAGCCUCAGAAGUUGAUAGUGGAGCUCUUAAGUCAGCUGAUGAAAAUGACAAUGCGCCUAGUGAAGCUAAUGCAGAUUGUGACUGACAGGCACUUCUGAUCAUCAUCAUUAAGAGGUGAAUCGAUCUAAAGAUCAAGGCUUUUCCUUGUUCAUGGCGAUUUGGGGCACAUAUGAAUGUUUCAGGGGGAUGGGAAUGGGAUGGACACUGAAUGAAGUUGAUUCGUAUUGACGAUCAUAUUGAACUCUAAUUUCAGGACAGUUAGAAUCCACAAAGAUUUUGGGUAUGACAACUACAUUCCUGUGAAGCAAUGAUCAAUCAUGUUAAUCUGCAAGCAUGGCCUUGCAUGAGACAUUUCAGGUAACAACGCUGAGGAUGAAAAGGAUGCCAGAUCAAUAUCCAUUAACAGGUUGACGAGGAAUUUAAAGAAGUGCAAGGAAAAAAGGAUAGAUAUUUAAGUAGCAGAAACCUCAGGUCAACUUACUAUUGAAGUACAACGAGCACAUAAAAUAUGUAAGAAUGACAAACUGUAUCUACAAAUCAAUCUUCACAACUGGAUAAGUUUUCUGUACUGUCAUAA
Molecule: RNA transcript, 3638 nt
Organism: Ricinus communis (castor bean)
Lineage: Eukaryota; Viridiplantae; Streptophyta; Magnoliopsida; Malpighiales; Euphorbiaceae
Gene name: transcription factor PIF3
Exons: 10
Source: RefSeq, a predicted model, not a curated record